RNAcentral lists this ribosomal RNA (497 nucleotides) under uncultured bacterium. RNAcentral's name for it is "partial 16S ribosomal RNA". It matches the Rfam family "Bacterial small subunit ribosomal RNA", at positions 28 to 507 of the family's 1533-position model. The record is from RNAcentral.
GAUGAACGCUGGCGGCGUGCCUAAUACAUGCAAGUCGAGCGAACAGAUGAGGAGCUUGCUCCUCUGACGUUAGCGGCGGACGGGUGAGUAACACGUGGAUAACCUACCUAUAAGACUGGGAUAACUUCGGGAAACCGGAGCUAAUACCGGAUAAUAUAUUGAACCGCAUGGUUCAAUAGUGAAAGACGGUUUUGCUGUCACUUAUAGAUGGAUCCGCGCCGCAUUAGCUAGUUAGUAAGGUAACGGCUUACCAAGGCAACGAUGCGUAGCCGACCUGAGAGGGUGAUCGGCCACACUGGAACUGAGACACGGUCCAGACUCCUACGGGAGGCAGCAGUAGGGAAUCUUCCGCAAUGGGCGAAAGCCUGACGGAGCAACGCCGCGUGAGUGAUGAAGGUCUUCGGAUCGUAAAACUCUGUUAUUAGGGAAGAACAAAUGUGUAAGUAACUAUGCACGUCUUGACGGUACCUAAUCAGAAAGCCACGGCUAACUACGUG